GUGGGGAAUCUUGCGCAAUGGGCGAAAGCCUGACGCAGCCAUGCCGCGUGAAUGAUGAAGGUCUUAGGAUUGUAAAAUUCUUUCACCGGGGACGAUAAUGACGGUACCCGGAGAAGAAGCUCCGGCUAACUUCGUGCCAGCAGCCGCGGUAAUACGAAGGGGGCUAGCGUUGCUCGGAAUUACUGGGCGUAAAGGGCGCGUAGGCGGACAGCUUAGUCAGAGGUGAAAGCCCAGGGCUCAACCUUGGAAUUGCCUUUGAUACUGGCUGUCUUGAGUUUGGGAGAGGUGAGUGGAACUCCGAGUGUAGAGGUGAAAUUCGUAGAUAUUCGGAAGAACACCAGUGGCGAAGGCGACUCACUGGCCCGUUACUGACGCUGAGGCGCGAAAGCGUGGGGAGCAAACAGGAUUAGAAACCCGGGUAGUCC
Molecule: ribosomal RNA, 425 nt
Filed under: uncultured bacterium
Lineage: Bacteria
Description: partial 16S ribosomal RNA
Rfam family: Bacterial small subunit ribosomal RNA
Source: RNAcentral